AGUGAACGCUGGCGGCAGGCCUAAUACAUGCAAGUCGAACGGCAGCACGGCAGAGCUUGCUCUGUGGGUGGCGAGUGGCGGACGGGUGAGGAAUACAUGGGAAUCUGCCCAGUCGUGGGGGAUAACGUAGGGAAACUUACGCUAAUACCGCAUGCGCCCUUCGGGGGAAAGCCGGGGACCUUCGGGCCUGGCGCGAUUGGAUGAGCCCAUGUCGGAUUAGCUAGGUUGGCGGGGUAAUGGCCCACCAAGGCGACGAUCCGUAGCUGGUCUGAGAGGAUGAUCAGCCACACUGGAACUGAGACACGGUCCAGACUCCUACGGGAGGCAGCAGUAGGGAAUAUUGGACAAUGGGCGCAAGCCUGAUCCAGCCAUGCCGCGUGAGUGAAGAAGGCCCUCGGGUUGUAAAGCUCUUUUGUCCGGAAAGAAAAGCGCCGGGUUAAUACCCUGGUGUCCUGACGGUACCGGAAGAAUAAGCACCGGCUAACUUCGUG
Molecule: ribosomal RNA, 491 nt
Filed under: uncultured bacterium
Lineage: Bacteria
Description: bacterial SSU rRNA
Rfam family: Bacterial small subunit ribosomal RNA
Source: RNAcentral